UAGGGAAUCUUCCGCAAUGGACGCAAGUCUGACGGAGCAACGCCGCGUGAGUGAAGAAGGAUUUCGGUUCGUAAAACUCUGUUGUUAGAGAAGAACAGCGCAUAGAGUAACUGUUAUGCGUGUGACGGUAUCUAACCAGAAAGCCACGGCUAACUACGUGCCAGCAGCCGCGGUAAUACGUAGGUGGCAAGCGUUGUCCGGAUUUAUUGGGCGUAAAGCGAGCGCAGGCGGUUAGAAAAGUCUGAAGUGAAAGGCAGUGGCUCAACCAUUGUAGGCUUUGGAAACUGUUUAACUUGAGUGCAGAAGGGGAGAGGGGAGUUCCAUGUGUAGCGGGGAAAUGCGUAGAUAUAUGAAGGAACACCGGUGGCGAAAGCGGCUCUCUGGUCUGUAACUGACGCUGAGGCUCGAAAGCGUGGGGAGCGAACAGG
RNAcentral lists this ribosomal RNA (428 nucleotides) under Bacteroidota bacterium. RNAcentral describes it as "Bacteroidetes bacterium partial 16S ribosomal RNA". It matches the Rfam family "Bacterial small subunit ribosomal RNA", at positions 355 to 776 of the family's 1533-position model. The record is from RNAcentral. Lineage: Bacteria; Pseudomonadati; Bacteroidota.